Long non-coding RNA from Anneissia japonica, 2113 nucleotides. RefSeq lists it as uncharacterized. The transcript has 3 exons. The record is from RefSeq and is a predicted model, not a curated record. NCBI's taxonomy places the organism in Eukaryota, Metazoa, Echinodermata, Crinoidea, Comatulida, Comatulidae.
CAAAAGUUUGUAUCAAAGGCUGCUAUUUUAAUUGCUGUAUCAAAGGCUGCUAUUUUGCCGAUUCCACCUAUGUUAAAAAUAGAUAAUCAAGUUCUCAUGUACAGGGUAAUUUUGAAUGAAAAAUGAUUUAUGCUGUAGUUGAAAAAUGUUUAAUUCCCUGAACGUUUCACAUCCAAAUCUCUGUGCCAAAAUAUAAAUGGUCCAGAGCAAAAUUUUUUUCUCAUUACCAUCCACUUCCUUAGCCCCAUCACAAGCAUUUUGUGUUUAUGUUUGUCUUUUAAAGUCGGGCUUUGGAGGGAAAAGAAUUUUUGAUAUGUUGUAGAACUUAUUUUUCUAAGACAGAAAAAAGUUGUUUGUAAUAAUUACUUUUUUCUUUGAAGUUCCAUCCAUGUGUUUUCUGUUUAUUUAGCCCUACAUCAAAAACUAUAUUAAGCCACUGUUUGAAAAAGUGUAUGCCGUUGGUUGUGGAGAAUAUUGGCCAUUGAAAAAUAAGGUGGGUGGCAUUUUGAAUAGGGGAUAACAAUCACAAAAGAAAAAUGCUAUAUGACUAGUCCUGUUCUUAUGUGAAUUUUCUCAAUUCUCAGGUGUUCAUGUAAUAACAGUCAAUGUACCUUGAGUUUCAUAUAUAAAAAAAAUAAAUAAAUAAUAAUAAUAAUAAUAAUAAUAAUAAUAAUAAUAAUAGUAAUAAUAAUAGUGUUAUGUCCAAGUCUAUUAUUGCUAUCGUUGCCGUUGUUGCUAUAUUAGUGUCAUCAUUAUUGCUAUUGUUAUUUCAAACACCUUUACCAAUAUCGUUAUUUUUAUUGUUGAAUUGAUUUAAUAAAAAAAACACCAUGAUUUUUAAUGAAACGGUAGGCUAAUGUCAUGCAUGCUACAGGAUUUUUUAUGUAAAUAUAAUUACCGAAUUAUUUGAGUAUUAGAUGCUGUAUACAAAACAAUUAUUUAAAAAUUGUAGAUUCUCAUAUAUAUAUUAUUUUUUUUUUGCAUUUGAAUUGUGAUUUGGUUUUAAAAACAUCACACUUUUUUGUAUGAUUUAAAGUUCGGGAAAAUAAUAUUAUUAUUAUUACAAUUUAUCACAAUCAUAAACAAUCAUGCAUUAAUUAAAAAUAAUUGAUAUGAUAAUAGAUUUCAUAACUUGUAAAUUGUCACUUACAAUUCUUGAAGACUAGUCAAACCACUGAAUGCACCUUGGUUUAGUUCAGUUAUUCGGUUACUACUCAAGUACCUUCAAAAAAAAGAAAAAAUAAAUAAUAUUAUUAUUUAGCAAAUGUAAACUAUAAAUUAAUAAUGUUGCCAGUUGUAAACAUGUUGCCUUUAAUUGGCGAUGUGUUUUAAUUCUGUUUUACCUGAUUUUUUUACCUGAUUGCUAUCGUUACCGUUGUUGCUAGCAUUAGUGUCAUCAUUAUUGCUAUCGUUAUUACAAUCACCUUUAAUUAAGAAUAUCGUUUUUAUUAUUGUUGAAUUGAUUUAAUAAAAAAUAAAAGACACCAUGAUUUUUAAUCAUCAUUAAACAUUAUUAAAUAUUGUUUGUAACCGAUAAUUGAGCUGUAAUCAGUAUGUAACCAACAAUAUGAUGCUCCUUUUACAUGCAUAUAAAUUCAUUGCGAUCAAUAUUUUACGUGAAAUAGGUAUUGUGUGAACAGGAUAAAUGGCAUGAAAUUAAUUAUUUGUAAAGUUAAACAUUCUUUGUAUGGAAUCAAUCGUCAUUACACCGAUAAUAGAUGUGAUUUUCACAACCUUUUUUAUUUAAUACUCGUCAUGUGGUCGAUCACGAUAUUCAUUUCGAAUGAUAUUCGAUAACUCAUGAGGUGUAUAUUGAUGUUUGAGGUCACGGACCCCAUUUACGAUGGACGUGCGAUGUAACUGGCUGUCAAAAGUACAAAACAUCUUACCAACCAGCAAUACAAUACUGAAGCAAAGGCUGCUAUUUGGCCGAUUCCACUUUAUGUUAAAAAGAAGAUAAUCAAGUUUUCAUGUACAAGGGUGAUAGUGACAACAGCAAACUGGCUGAUGUGUAUCUGAAAAAAGAUGCAGGGACACCACUGCUGCCAGAAAACUUCACCUUGUCGAAGGAGCAAAUAUAUGUACGGUGUGUGAUAUGGUCACAGCAUGCCGU